ACGGGAGGCAGCAGUGGGGAAUAUUGGGCAAUGGGCGCAAGCCUGACCCAGCAACGCCGCGUGAAGGAAGAAGGCUUUCGGGUUGUAAACUUCUUUUGUGAGGGACGAGAAGAAGACGGUACCUCAUGAAUAAGCCACGGCUAACUCCGUGCCAGCAGCCGCGGUAAUACGGAGGAUGCGAGCGUUAUCCGGAUUUAUUGGGUUUAAAGGGUGCGCAGGCGGUCUUUUAAGUCAGUGGUCAAAUCGUGGUGCUCAACGCCAUCCCGCCAUUGAUACUGGGAGACUUGAUUGCGGUUGAGGUAGGCGGAAUUCGUCGUGUAGCGGUGAAAUGCAUAGAUAUGACGAAGAACACCGAUUGCGUAGGCAGCUUACCAAGCCGUAAAUGACGCUCAUGCACGAAAGUGCGGGGAUCGAACAGGAUUAGAUACCCUGGUA
RNAcentral lists this ribosomal RNA (435 nucleotides) under uncultured Porphyromonadaceae bacterium. RNAcentral's name for it is "partial 16S ribosomal RNA". It matches the Rfam family "Bacterial small subunit ribosomal RNA", at positions 341 to 792 of the family's 1533-position model. The record is from RNAcentral. Lineage: Bacteria; Pseudomonadati; Bacteroidota; Bacteroidia; Bacteroidales; Porphyromonadaceae.